Molecule: ribosomal RNA, 253 nt
Filed under: uncultured bacterium
Lineage: Bacteria
Description: partial 16S ribosomal RNA
Rfam family: Bacterial small subunit ribosomal RNA
Source: RNAcentral
UACGUAGGGUGCGAGCGUUGUCCGGAAUUACUGGGCGUAAAGGGCUCGUAGGCGGCCAACUAAGUCAGACGUGAAAUCCCUCGGCUUAACCGGGGAACUGCGUCUGAUACUGGAUGGCUUGAGUUCGGGAGAGGGAUGUGGAAUUCCAGGUGUAGCGGUGAAAUGCGUAGAUAUCUGGAGGAACACCGGUGGCGAAGGCGGCAUCCUGGACCGACACUGACGCUGAUGAGCGAAAGCCAGGGGAGCAAACGGG